Molecule: unclassified non-coding RNA, 305 nt
Filed under: plant metagenome
Description: partial contains 5.8S ribosomal RNA, internal transcribed spacer 2, and large subunit ribosomal RNA
Rfam family: 5.8S ribosomal RNA (bases 1-105)
Source: RNAcentral
GAAAUGCGAUAAGUAGUGUGAAUUGCAGAAUUCAGUGAAUCAUCGAAUCUUUGAACACACAUUGCGCCCUUUGGUAUUCCUUAGGGCAUGCCUGUUCGAGCGUCAUCUAAACCUUCAAGCCCUGCUUGGUGUUGGGUGCCUGUCCCGCCUCCGCGCGCGGACUCACCUCAAAUCCAUUGGCGGCCCCCGCGUCGGCCACGAGCGCAGCAGAAACGCGAACUCGUGAGCCCGUCCGGGCGGCUCCCAGAAGCUACACCCACCCAGUUUGACCUCGGAUCAGGUAGGGAUACCCGCUGAACUUAAGC